CGGACGGGUGAGUAACGCGUAGGAAUCUGGCUAUUAGUGGGGGACAACGUGUGGAAACGCACGCUAAUACCGCAUACGCCCUGAGGGGGAAAGAGGGGGACUUGAAAGAGCCUCUUGCUAAUAGAUGAGCCUGCGUUGGAUUAGCUAGAUGGUGGGGUAAGAGCCUACCAUGGCGACGAUCCAUAGCUGUUCUGAGAGGAAGAUCAGCCACACUGGGACUGAGACACGGCCCAGACUCCUACGGGAGGCAGCAGUGGGGAAUAUUGGACAAUGGGCGGAAGCCUGAUCCAGCAAUACCGCGUGUGUGAAGAAGGCCUUAGGGUUGUAAAGCACUUUCACUGGGGAGGAAUACCUAUUAGUUAAUACCUGAUAGAUUGACAUUACCUAGAGAAGAAGCACCGGCUAACUCCGUGCCAGCAGCCGCGGUAAUACGGAGGGUGCGAGCGUUAAUCGGAAUUACUGGGCGUAAAGCGUGCGUAGGCGGUUA
Molecule: ribosomal RNA, 487 nt
Filed under: uncultured bacterium
Lineage: Bacteria
Description: bacterial SSU rRNA
Rfam family: Bacterial small subunit ribosomal RNA
Source: RNAcentral